RNAcentral lists this ribosomal RNA (493 nucleotides) under uncultured bacterium. RNAcentral describes it as "bacterial SSU rRNA". It matches the Rfam family "Bacterial small subunit ribosomal RNA", at positions 15 to 507 of the family's 1533-position model. The record is from RNAcentral.
GAUCCUGGCUCAGGAUGAACGCUAGCGGGAGGCCUAAUACAUGCAAGUCGAACGGUAACAGGUAGCAAUACGCUGACGAGUGGCGCACGGGUGCGUAACGCGUACACAAUCUGCCUUAUACUGGGGCAUAGCCUUUGGAAACGAAGAAUAAUUCCCCAUAAUAUAUAGAAGAGGCAUCUCUUUUAUAUUAAAGCUCAGGCGGUAUAAGAUGAGUGUGCGUCCGAUUAGGUAGUUGGUGAGGUAACGGCUCACCAAGCCAACGAUCGGUAGCUGGUCUGAGAGGAUGAUCAGCCACACGGGCACUGAGACACGGGCCCGACUCCUACGGGAGGCAGCAGUAGGGAAUAUUGGACAAUGGGCGCAAGCCUGAUCCAGCCAUCCCGCGUGAAGGAUGAAGGUCCUCUGGAUUGUAAACUUCUUUUCUUCGGGAAUAAAAACUGGGGUUCUCCUCAGCUUGAAGGUACCGAAGGAAUAAGCACCGGCUAACUCCGUG